Molecule: ribosomal RNA, 245 nt
Filed under: uncultured bacterium
Lineage: Bacteria
Description: partial 16S ribosomal RNA
Rfam family: Bacterial small subunit ribosomal RNA
Source: RNAcentral
UACGGAGGGUGCAAACGUUGCUCGGAAUUACUGGGCGUAAAGCGCGUGUAGGCGGCCGAGUCAGUCGGGUGUGAAAGCCCUGGGCUUAACCCAGGAAUUGCGCCCGAUACUGCUUGGCUAGAGUACAGGAGAGGGUAGUGGAAUUCCCGGUGUAGAGGUGAAAUUCGUAGAUAUCGGGAGGAACAUCAGUGGCGAAGGCGGCUACCUGGACUGAUACUGACGCUGAGACGCGAAAGCGUGGGGAG